Capsicum annuum is the source of this 3095-nucleotide RNA transcript. It is a transcript of the gene named 2-succinylbenzoate--CoA ligase, chloroplastic/peroxisomal, with no coding region annotated. The transcript has 12 exons. NCBI's taxonomy places the organism in Eukaryota, Viridiplantae, Streptophyta, Magnoliopsida, Solanales, Solanaceae. The record is from RefSeq and is a predicted model, not a curated record.
AUGUACACUUGUCAGGGCCAGUUUACUCAAUCUCUACUUACAAUUUUCAAAUAAAAACAACUUAGGAGGUGUACUUAUUUCUUGAAUUUUUGUAGAUCAAGAUAGGUUUAUUGACGCGAUUUCACAAUCAGAUUAUUAAAACUAAAGUAUACCUAUAAGUAAUCCUCGUUAAAAUAUUUUUAAAAUAAAGUACGUGCUACAUUAGGUAAAGAUAACAUGACAAAUAUUUAAGAAUCCUCUAAUUCAUAUCUUCUCCAUCCUUUUAUUCAUAAUCUAAACAAUCCAAUAAAAGAUAAACAAGAAAUCAAAGUAGUACUUUAAAAUAUCUUAAAAUUAUCCUCACAAAGUUCACUUGGAUAUUUAAUCAAAAUUGACUCUUCAAAAGGCCAAUAUUUUGGUAUGGAGAAAAUGUCUUCUCCUUCAAAGAAUAUUUAUCCAAUUACUGAAAAACAGAGCUAAUAUAAUUUUGCUCUUUUGUUAACGAAUUGCUCCAGAGAAAUGGCUAAUUACUCUAAGGCUCAUAUUUGCCAGUGCUUGAACCGGCUGUUGACGGUUCGCCGGAGCUCAACGGUGAUGAUAAUGGGAGAGAGGAAGAAGACCGGCAUGGAAUUUGUUGAGGGAGUUUUGGGCCUGGCCCAUGGGCUUAUUCACUUGGGCCUUAAGCCCGGUGAUGUCGUCGCCAUUUCCGCUCUUAACAGUGAUCUGUAUUUGGAGUGGUUACUGGCAGUUGCGUGUGUAGGAGGAAUUACUGCACCUUUCAAUUACCGUUGGAGCCUGGAAGAAGCAAGAGCAGCUCUUCAAGUAGCAAAGCCAGCGAUAUUGGUCCGCGAUGCAAACUGUAAUUCCUGGAACUUCGAGUCCUUUGCCAAUUCUGUUCCUUCUCUGAGGUGGCAAGUCUUAAUGGAUACUCCUACUGAAGUUAAUAACACUAAGAUUGGAUUAACUACUGAACAGCUGGAAAGAAGUUGCAACAGGCAUUUAACAGCAGACUACCAAUGGGCACCUCAGGAAGUAGCUAUGAUAUGCUUUACCUCAGGAACCACAGGGAGGCCAAAGGGAGUUACUAUAAGCCACUCAGCUUUGGUGGUGCAAUCCCUUGCAAAAAUUGCAAUUGUUGGUUACGGUGAGGAUGAUGUGUAUUUACACACUGCACCACUGUGCCACAUUGGUGGUAUAUCAUCAGCCUUGGCCAUGUUCAUGGCAGGAGGUUGUCAUAUUUUACUACCAAAGUUUGAAGCUAAAUUGGCUGUUGAAUCCAUAGACAAGCAUAACGUCACUUCUUUUAUUACAGUUCCAGCUAUGAUGGCUGAUCUAAUCUCUUUUUAUAGGACAAAUCACACAUCGCUAGAGUCCAAAUCUGUGAAGAAGGUUCUUAAUGGAGCUGGCAGUCUUUCAUCUGAUCUCAUCAAAAAUGCGAUUGAGAUAUUCCCGAGGGCUAAACUUCUUUCAGCUUACGGAAUGACCGAGGCAUGUUCUUCUCUGACUUUCAUGACUCUUUAUGAUCCGGUAAGAGAGAGUUUUAGCCGGCAUUCUUAUGCCAACAGCUCCAAUUUAGCACAUAAACCAGAUGGUAUCUGUGUUGGAAAGCCUGCUCCACAUAUUGAAAUAAGGAUCGCUGGGGACGAUUCGUCUUGUAUAGGGAGGAUUUUGACACGAGGUCCACAUGUAAUGCUCGGAUACUGGGGUCAAAUGCCAGGCAAUAAUUCUUCUUCAACUGGUGAAUGUUGGCUUGACACUGGUGAUAUAGGGCAUAUAGAUGAUUGUGGAAAUAUCUGGCUCAUUGGGCGCUUGAAGGGUCGAAUAAAAAGUGGGGGCGAAAAUGUUUAUCCUGAAGAGGUGGAAGCUGUCUUAUUGCAACAUCCAGGGAUUUCUGCCAGUGUUGUUAUUGGGCUUCCUGACUCUCGCUUAACUGAGAUGGUCGUUGCCUGUGUUAGGCUGAAAGACAAUUGGCAGUGGACUGAUUCAAGCUCUAAUUAUCCAGUUAACAAAAAUGAGCAUCGUUUGUCCAGUACUGUCCUCCAGAACUUCUGUAGAGUGAAAGAUUUGACAGGGUUCAAAAUACCCAAGAAUUUUGUGGUGUGGAAAAAUCAAUUUCCAGUUACAACAACAGGGAAAUUAAGAAGAGAUCAAGUGAGAGCAGAACUUAUGUCUUAUAGGCAGUUACCGCCCAGCAGACUAUGACUCCCACCAUAUUCUUUUCUUGCAUUUGUUUGAACGGCUAACUACUUGAUUUUUGACAAGUCUGCUCUCACCUCAAGCCAUGAUAUCAUAGUGUUGAAAACAAGCUCCACAGUUUCAUUUGGUUCACCUAUCAAUUGAUGCCACAUUCCUGGGUAAAUCUGCAUAGUCUUAUCCUUACUCCCUGCCGAUUCAUACACAAAUUUAGCAGCUUCAGGAUCACAUACCUUAUCAUCCCCACCUUGAAGAAUCAGCAAAGGAACUUCUAGUUCAUGAGAUUUCCUUUGUACAUACUCAGUGACUUUCAGAAGUUCUAAUGCAGUGGCAGCUGGUGGCUUCUUCUCGGAAGCCAAGCGAUUCGGACUUUUUGAGACCAUCUUUCUCUUCCACCCCUCCUUGUAUGAUAUAGAUGCAGGUGGUUUGGUGAUCACAAUCCUCCAAGUUGGUGCUAUGAACGCGGCUAAUGGUAGUAGCUUCUCCAGUGGCCAAACAGGAAAGCCGGAAGCUUUGGGUGAUCAGCACGAGCAGCAUCGAAGUACUGUAUGCAGUCUUGGACUAAAGGUUGAAUACUUGGUAUGUAACCAGGUGAGCCUUCUGAGUAACCAUGACCUUGUAGGUCAAUAGCACAGACGAAAAAUCCUGCUUUCGCUAUGGCUACUGCAUUUAGCUCAAAAAGCCAGCUGCUUUCGGACGUAUAACCAUGAAUCAUGCCCACAAGGCCUCUUAACUGAUUACUUGAUUCAUGCUGCCAAGAUUGUGUGAAUAUCUUCAUGUUUUGUUUGUUUAACAUGAAACUUUGUUUGUGCAUGAUUUUGUGUUGCUUGUAAAACUCUUCUCUUGUCAAGUUUCCAUAUGGGCUAUUCUCAUUAGAUUGGAAAAUUGGGUGAGACAUUGUAUACUGGUGAGUUUGUUUUGUG